RNAcentral lists this ribosomal RNA (253 nucleotides) under uncultured bacterium. RNAcentral's name for it is "partial 16S ribosomal RNA". It matches the Rfam family "Bacterial small subunit ribosomal RNA", at positions 524 to 776 of the family's 1533-position model. The record is from RNAcentral.
UACGGAGUGUGCAAGCGUUACUCGGAAUCACUGGGCCUAAAGCGCGCGUAGGCGGGUUUCCAAGUCGGUUGUGAAAUCCCUCAGCUCAACUGAGGAACUGCAUCCGAUACUGUUUGUCUUGAGGACGAGAGGGGAGAGUGGAACUUCUGGUGAAGCGGUGAAAUGCGUAGAUAUCAGAAGGAACGCCGGUGGCGAAAGCGACUCUCUGGCUCGUAACUGACGCUGAGGUGCGAAAGCUUGGGUAGCAAACGGG